AUACGAAGGGUGCAAGCGUUAAUCGGAAUUACUGGGCGUAAAGCGCGCGUAGGUGGUUUUGUAAGACAGUGGUGAAAUCCCCGGGCUCAACCUGGGAACUGCCUUUGUGACUGCAAGGCUAGAGUACGGCAGAGGGGGAUGGAAUUCCGCGUGUAGCAGUGAAAUGCGUAGAUAUGCGGAGGAACACCGAUGGCGAAGGCAAUCCCCUGGGCCUGUACUGACGCUCAUGCACGAAAGCGUGGGGAGCAAACAGGAUUAGAUACCCUGGUAGUCCACGCCCUAAACGAUGUCAACUGGUUGUUGGGUCUUCAUUGACUCAGUAACGAAGCUAACGCGUGAAGUUGACCGCCUGGGGAGUACGGCCGCAAGGUUGAAACUCAAAUGAAUUGACGGGG
RNAcentral lists this ribosomal RNA (395 nucleotides) under uncultured bacterium. RNAcentral's name for it is "partial 16S ribosomal RNA". It matches the Rfam family "Bacterial small subunit ribosomal RNA", at positions 523 to 918 of the family's 1533-position model. The record is from RNAcentral.